RNAcentral lists this ribosomal RNA (374 nucleotides) under uncultured bacterium. RNAcentral describes it as "bacterial SSU rRNA". It matches the Rfam family "Bacterial small subunit ribosomal RNA", at positions 524 to 898 of the family's 1533-position model. The record is from RNAcentral.
UACGUAGGGUGCAAGCGUUAAUCGGAAUUACUGGGCGUAAAGCGUGCGCAGGCGGUUCGGAAAGAAAGAUGUGAAAUCCCAGGGCUCAACCUUGGAACUGCAUUUUUAACUACCGGACUAGAGUAUGUCAGAGGGAGGUGGAAUUCCACGUGUAGCAGUGAAAUGCGUAGAUAUGUGGAGGAACACCGAUGGCGAAGGCAGCCUCCUGGGAUAAUACUGACGCUCAUGCACGAAAGCGUGGGGAGCAAACAGGAUUAGAUACCCUGGUAGUCCACGCCCUAAACGAUGUCAACUAGCUGUUGGGGCCUUCGGGCCUUGGUAGCGCAGCUAACGCGUGAAGUUGACCGCCUGGGGAGUACGGUCGCAAGAUUAAA